GACGAACGCUGGCGGCGUGCUUAACACAUGCAAGUCGAACGGAAAGGCCCUGCUUUUGUGGGGUGCUCGAGUGGCGAACGGGUGAGUAACACGUGAGUAACCUGCCCUUGACUUUGGGAUAACUUCAGGAAACUGUGGCUAAUACCGGAUAGGAGCUCCUGCUGCAUGGUGUGGGUUGGAAAGUUUCGGCGGUUGGGGAUGGACUCGCGGCUUAUCAGCUUGUUGGUGGGGUAGUGGCUUACCAAGGCUUUGACGGGUAGCCGGCCUGAGAGGGUGACCGGCCACAUUGGGACUGAGAUACGGCCCAGACUCAUACGGGAGGCAGCAGUGGGGAAUAUUGCACAAUGGGCGGAAGCCUGAUGCAGCAACGCCGCGUGCGGGAUGACGGCCUUCGGGUUGUAAACCGCUUUCGCCUGUGACGAAGCGUGAGUGACGGUAAUGGGUAAAGAAGCACCGGCUAACUACGUG
Molecule: ribosomal RNA, 468 nt
Filed under: uncultured bacterium
Lineage: Bacteria
Description: partial 16S ribosomal RNA
Rfam family: Bacterial small subunit ribosomal RNA
Source: RNAcentral